Salvia hispanica is the source of this 1258-nucleotide non-coding RNA. The record is from RefSeq and is a predicted model, not a curated record. Lineage: Eukaryota; Viridiplantae; Streptophyta; Magnoliopsida; Lamiales; Lamiaceae.
GAUGGGAGGAAUGAGAGAGAUCACGAGAUCCUACUACGAGAGAGCAAGCGAGGCCGAGAAGGAAAAGAUCAAACUAACCUUCGCAAAAUUCGACAUCAACGGCGACGGGAAGAUAACCAUUGCGGAGCUCAAAAGCCUGAUGAGAAUCCCGGAAGACGUGUUCCAUAAACUAGAUGUGAAUGGCGACGGGUGCCUCGAUUUCGACGAGUUUCUGUGCCUUCACUACAUCAGUGCUAGUAAGAUGCCGUUAGUCUAUUGCGACGGCUGCUCUCAGUUUAUGGAGGGCCCUUACUUCUCUUGCUUGCUUUGCCUCGGAAGAGGCGCUAAUACGUACGACCUCUGCUGUUCUUGCUACCGCCGCGGUGCCGAGUCGUCGCAUGAGCACUCGGUCGAGCACAUGGUGGAUCAUCUCUCUCUGCUCAAGCUCUUCAGGGAAGAAAAAGCUCAAAACAAGAAAGAAAUUGAUGAAAUUCGCGAAAUUGCCAAAGCCCUUCACCGAGCCAGCUCUCCUCAAGUCCAAGAAUUAGCAACCGAGUUCUACCAAUCCCUGGACUCGGACGGAGACGGCCGAGUCGAUCUGUCCGAGUUCCUUACUUCAUGACUGAAGUAGGCUUUUCCUACAAGAAAACCCCCACUUUAUUCGACGAGCUCGACGUAGACAGCGACGGCACCCUCGACUUCUUCGAGGUCUUGACGCUCCUCUACAUCAUCAAGAGCGGCCGCCCUCAAUGCGACUGCUGCGAAAAAAUCAUCCCCGGUGUGUUCUUCUCCUGCACCGAAUGCUUUAAGAAUCCCAAAAGCUCGUUCGAUCUGUGCAAGGAUUGUUUCAUGAAGGGGAGUUGCGACCAUAAACACGGCGGCCGGGCUCAGUUUUUGGACAGUCAUACGUUGUUGCAGGCUAUGAGAUAUCCGACGAUUGCCGAUGUGUCAGGCUUAACAAUUCAUGAGGUAGUGAAUGUGAAUAGAUCCACAAAUGACAUAGUUCCAUCAAACAAAAAGUGGAGCAAAAGGAAGGCUGCAUAUUAUGCACUUGACACAGCAGCCAAAUUCGAGACCAUUUCCGACGCCCUAGACCUCUGCACUAUUAUGUGACAAUAUGAGAGAGCCAUAUAAAUUCAAAAAGAAAAGGGCUAUGAAUGUUGAUUGGACUACUUUUUUUUCUUGUUCAUGUAAUCUUUAUCUUUUGUUUUCGGGUGUAUGUUAAGUGUGAAAGACAUUAUUUAAAAUGUAGUACUAAAGAUAACUAUUUCGUACAUUA